ACUCCUACGGGAGGCAGCAGUGGGGAAUAUUGCACAAUGGGCGCAAGCCUGAUGCAGCAACGCCGUGUGAGUGAAGAAGGUUUUCGGAUCGUAAAACUCUGUCCUAAGGGAAGAAACAAAUGACGGUACCUUAGGAGGAAGCCCCGGCUAACUACGUGCCAGCAGCCGCGGUAAUACGUAGGGGGCAAGCGUUAUCCGGAAUCACUGGGACGUAAAGGGUGCGUAGGCGGCUUAGCAAGCCAGGGGUGAAAGGCAUUGGCUCAACCAAUGUAAGCCUUUGGAACUGUUAAGCUUGAGUGCAGGAGAGGUAAGUGGAAUUCCUAGUGUAGAGGUGAAAUUCGUAGAUAUUAGGAGGAACACCAGUGGCGAAGGCGACUUACUGGACUGUAACUGACGCUGAUGCACGAAAGCGU
This 413-nucleotide ribosomal RNA is filed under the name uncultured bacterium. RNAcentral's name for it is "bacterial SSU rRNA". It matches the Rfam family "Bacterial small subunit ribosomal RNA", at positions 335 to 762 of the family's 1533-position model. The record is from RNAcentral.